Triticum urartu is the source of this 968-nucleotide non-coding RNA. Lineage: Eukaryota; Viridiplantae; Streptophyta; Magnoliopsida; Poales; Poaceae. The record is from RefSeq and is a predicted model, not a curated record.
UCCACUCUGUCGUCCUCGCGUGCACACGGCAGGUGCUCCGCCUCUUACUCUCGUUCGGCCAGAUCCACGGUGCACGGCCUCUCGCGCUCGCUCGCGACCCUGAGCCGUGGCAAGGGUUUCAGGCUGGGCAUCGGCUUCGUCGCCGGCGCGGCUCCGGUGGAUUCAGGCGGCUCCUCUCCGUCUCCUCUCUCGCCCCCACGCGCGGCUCCGCUUCCCGCUGGCCAUGAGAUUGUGGCGAGGUUGAGCGUAUGGAGCAGAGGGACCAGGGCCGGCCGAUGGCUUGUUUCCUCUAUACGUACUUGAUGGUUAGCCCAUGUAGCAGAUCGACUGAUUCUGAGAAAGGAAAAAAAUGGUAACAGAUCGACUAAUUCUUGGCUUGCUGCAUGCGCGUGAUCUUCUCUGGUUUCUCUUCCCCAAUUGGCAACGAACCAGCCAUGCCAAGGUCAACGGCGCCUUGUCCACACCGUCUAAUUGCGAUUUCCGGCUGUUGGGUGUGAUUAGUGCAGGAAGAUCCGUUGCUGCUACAGAACCCAACUCCUGAGCAUGUCGGAGUUGAGCAAGAAGACAGGAGGAGGUGUCGAGGACGAAGAGGCCCCUCUUCCUUUUUGGUCCACGCCGCUACGAAAGUGAUAUUAGGUGAACUUGUUAUACUCUUUCUGGUUCAAUGGAACUUACCUACGCACAUUAGGGGUUUUACUUUAGCUGGUGAGUGUUUGUGAGCGAGAUGGCUGUCGCUUCCGCAUGGAUCCACCUCCUAGCCGUUGACCACUUCAUUGGAAGGCACGUGUAACCUUGAUGGGCAAAUAUGGUGAAGACUUGAAGUUGAUAUACUAAUGUGGUAUAUGAAGCUAUGUUCAAGGGCGUCACACAGGUCGGCUUGCAAUGUUGAGCAGAUCACCAUGUUAAAAGAUGGGCAUUUAGAGAAGUGUGUGCUCGCCAAGGAUCCAAUGGGUUUCUGAAGAGUUGGC